This is a non-coding RNA of Chlorocebus sabaeus (green monkey), 549 nucleotides long. The record is from RefSeq and is a predicted model, not a curated record. NCBI's taxonomy places the organism in Eukaryota, Metazoa, Chordata, Mammalia, Primates, Cercopithecidae.
GAGUCCGCCAAGCCCCCGGCAUGCUGUGCGGCGCGCCUGGCGUGCACCUUGGAGUGCGGAGCUGGCACCUUGGCGCCGUGGACGGCGGCGGGGACAGCUGUAGAGUGUGAAGUUCCUUGUCUGCUGGCAGCCAGAGGCGACGAGUCUGGAUGUCAUGGAAGUGUGUUUCAGUUACUAACUGAUCUGAAAGAACAGCGUAAAGAAAGUGGAAAGAAUAAACACAGCUCUGGACAACAGAACUUGAACACCAUCACCUAUGAAAGACGGGGUCUUGAUGUGUUGCCCAGGCUGGUCUUGAACUCCUGGGCUCAAGCAGUCCGCCCACCUCAGCUUCUCAAAGUGCUGGGAUGACAGGUAUGAACCACUGCAACUGGCCCAAAGACGUAUUUUUACCUAUAGUGUAGUUCAGCCUUAAGACUGUACCAGCAGAUAGAGAUGGAAAAGUAAUGUAAAGCGAAUAUCAAAUUAUGUUUACAAAUGAAGCAGUUGCUCAUUAAGGUUUUUUCAAAAACCUCCUUUUUUAUUCUGGGUUACAUCAUUCCCUGGCUG